RNAcentral lists this ribosomal RNA (402 nucleotides) under uncultured bacterium. RNAcentral's name for it is "bacterial SSU rRNA". It matches the Rfam family "Bacterial small subunit ribosomal RNA", at positions 355 to 774 of the family's 1533-position model. The record is from RNAcentral.
UGGGGAAUAUUGGACAAUGGGCGAAAGCCUGAUCCAGCCAUGCCGCGUGAGUGAUGAAGGCCCUAGGGUUGUAAAGCUCUUUCACCGGGGAAGAUAAUGACGGUACCCGGAGAAGAAGCCCCGGCUAACUUCGUGCCAGCAGCCGCGGUAAUACGAAGGGGGCUAGCGUUGUUCGGAAUUACUGGGCGUAAAGCGCACGUAGGCGGAUCGGUCAGUUAGGGGUGAAAUCCCAGGGCUCAACCCUGGAACUGCCUUUAAUACUGCCGGUCUAGAGUUCGAGAGAGGUGAGUGGAAUUCCGAGUGUAGAGGUGAAAUUCGUAGAUAUUCGGAGGAACACCAGUGGCGAAGGCGGCUCACUGGCUCGAUACUGACGCUGAGGUGCGAAAGCGUGGGGAGCAAACG